This 649-nucleotide ribosomal RNA is filed under the name uncultured bacterium. Its description in RNAcentral is "bacterial SSU rRNA". It matches the Rfam family "Bacterial small subunit ribosomal RNA", at positions 81 to 767 of the family's 1533-position model. The record is from RNAcentral.
GCGAACUCGGAGUAGUGGCGGACGGGUGAGUACACGUGGGAACGUGCCUUAGGUUCGGAAUAACUCAGGGAAACUUGUGCUAAUACCGAAUGUGCCCUUCGGGGGAAAGAUUUAUCGCCUUUAGAGCGGCCCGCGUCUGAUUAGCUAGUUGGUGAGGUAAAGGCUCACCAAGGCGACGAUCAGUAGCUGGUCUGAGAGGAUGAUCAGCCACAUUGGGACUGAGACACGGCCCAAACUCCUACGGGAGGCAGCAGUGGGGAAUCUUGCGCAAUGGGCGAAAGCCUGACGCAGCCAUGCCGCGUGAAUGAUGAAGGUCUUAGGAUUGUAAAAUUCUUUCACCGGGGACGAUAAUGACGGUACCCGGAGAAGAAGCCCCGGCUAACUUCGUGCCAGCAGCCGCGGUAAUACGAAGGGGGCUAGCGUUGCUCGGAAUUACUGGGCGUAAAGGGAGCGUAGGCGGACAUUUAAGUCAGGGGUGAAAUCCCGGGGCUCAACCUCGGAAUUGCCUUUGAUACUGGGUGUCUUGAGUAUGAGAGAGGUGUGUGGAACUCCGAGUGUAGAGGUGAAAUUCGUAGAUAUUCGGAAGAACACCAGUGGCGAAGGCGACACACUGGCUCAUUACUGACGCUGAGGCUCGAAAGCGUGGGGG